RNAcentral lists this long non-coding RNA (593 nucleotides) under Trifolium pratense (red clover). RNAcentral describes it as "long non-coding RNA (TPRA_LNC010399)". Lineage: Eukaryota; Viridiplantae; Streptophyta; Magnoliopsida; Fabales; Fabaceae. The record is from RNAcentral.
UUGUAUUGUUCGAGCGUCAACUCAGGUGGGUUCCCUUAGAGCCUUAAACUCUAGUUAGUUUAGCUUCAUUAGUUUCCCCAAAAUUUAAUGUUUCCCGAUUCAGUUAUGUACACUCUUGUCGAUAUUCUAGAUAAAUCGAUAUGGGGCGUUAUAAUUGGUAUCAGAGCAGGUUGAUUCAGUAUCGGACCUUGCCGCGGAUCAUUAAAGUUCAAUAAAAGUAGUACGGACCCUUUGGAGUCUAGACUGUUUACGCUGAAAUCAUCGCGUGCUGAGCCCGAUCAACUCAGUAUCGUGUAUGGUAGGCAGGGUAUUACGGUUGAGAACCGAAGUGGACCAAGGAGGUCGGGUAGUAAGAACAAGUAGAAGUGCAAACUCAGGUGGAAGUAUGAAUGGAGAUCGUUAGAAGCGGAUAUUGUAACUGCAUCAGUCGAUGCCACAAGAGUAAGUUGAGUAACGCCAACAAGUGGCGCGCAGGGAAUAAUAUAUGGCGUAAUACCAGUAGUAAAGAGGAAUAACGGGAAAUGCACGAAUCGGACGAGUGCAACUGAAGGUAGCUUUUGUAAGGAUCUAAAGGAUUUUGGGAAUGGAAAAGC